This 301-nucleotide ribosomal RNA is filed under the name uncultured bacterium. RNAcentral describes it as "partial 16S ribosomal RNA". It matches the Rfam family "Bacterial small subunit ribosomal RNA", at positions 509 to 809 of the family's 1533-position model. The record is from RNAcentral.
CAGCAGCCGCGGUAAUACGAAGGGUGCAAGCGUUACUCGGAAUUACUGGGCGUAAAGCGUGCGUAGGUGGUUGUUUAAGUCUGCUGUGAAAGCCCUGGGCUCAACCUGGGAAUUGCAGUGGAUACUGGGCAACUAGAGUAAGGUAGAGGAUAGUGGAAUUUCCGGUGUAGCAGUGAAAUGCGUAGAGAUCGGAAGGAACAUCUGUGGCGAAGGCGACUAUCUGGGCCAUUACUGACACUGAGGCACGAAAGCGUGGGGAGCAAACAGGAUUAGAUACCCCUGUAGUUCCUGUCUCUUAUAA